RNAcentral lists this ribosomal RNA (255 nucleotides) under uncultured bacterium. Its description in RNAcentral is "partial 16S ribosomal RNA". It matches the Rfam family "Bacterial small subunit ribosomal RNA", at positions 524 to 777 of the family's 1533-position model. The record is from RNAcentral.
UACGGGGGGAGCAAGCGUUGUUCGGAUUUACUGGGCGUAAAGGGCGCGUAGGCGGUCGUGACAAGUCACUUGUGAAAUCUCCGGGCUUAACUCGGAACGGUCAAGUGAUACUGUCGGACUAGAGUACAGAAGGGGCAACUGGAAUUCUCGGUGUAGCGGUGAAAUGCGUAGAUAUCAAGAGGAACACCUGAGGUGAAGACGGGUUGCUGGGCUGACACUGACGCUGAGGCGCGAAAGCCAGGGGAGCAAACGGGG